AUCGUCAACCAACUUCUGCCGCCGAAGAAAGAAACUCUUGAUGCACCAUCGCUCGGAUGAGACCGGCGCCGCAACACCACCUCCAACACAAACACUUUCGGCUCCGCGAUGAAACCGCCGACGCGAGUGGAGAGAGCCGAAGAAACAAGACCCCCGGCGCAAGACCUUCACCGCGCCAGGCAGACCUCUGCCAAUAGUCACGGUCCGCGUACCCGAUCCCUACUGCCCGUCCCGUAACUCCCUGAUUUUCGGAUCCUCCCAGAAGAACGGAUCCGAUGCAACCUUGCGCCGCCGCUCCUCCCUUCCCCUCCUCCCGUGCGCUUCCCUCUCAUCCACCCCGGCGACCGGAUCUCCCUUUCUCCGUUGGACCUCCUAGCAAACGCCGCCGCCCCCUCCCUUCCGAUCCACCCCGAGCCAACCUGCCGCCACCACGCACGCGAGCCACGGUGGGGGACGCGCGAGGAGGAGCAGCGGCUUCCUCCGGGCACACACGUGUUGUUGCCGUCGGCCUCUCCUGGAGCGUCGUUCGCCGUCGCCGCCUGCCGAUUGGCUUCUGCCCCACGGCGGCCACGUCCGGGAACUCGCCCUCCGCCGCUGCCAAGUGGGUGAGAACCAUUGCUAUCGCCCUCUCCCGCCCUGCUCCGACGCGAUCCUGAUGCGCCUGCACGUCCAUUUUCGUACGAAGUACUAAUGGCCAUCGGAUUUAGAUUUCAGGAGCUUUCAAUCGUGGAUGCUUGUUUCCCCUUCCUCUACGUGUUGCCUCUCUGGAGAUAGGAUUGACAUUUUUAAACUGACGGAUUGAUCCAUGUAAUUACGUUUCUAGCUCAAUCUUUCUUUGGUAGUGAAGUCAGAAGAAUAGAUUAGUACUUCUGUGGUUGAGGUUUCAACAUAUUGCUUUCACAGAGGGACGCUGGUGCAGUGGCCAUAUAUAUGGUAAGACGUAUGAAGUAAAAUUAACAGCUGAUGCCUUUUUUGGUCUGCUGAAAUUAAGAGGAGAAAUUGUUAACUGAGAGGUUCUAGCGUGGACUACAAACUAUUCAGCUAUGUUUGAAUGUAGUGCGAGGAAUUAUGCUUCUUGCAGCUGCAGGACCAUGAGAUGUCGACGCUGCACAAUAGGACACACCAAGAUCCCAGCCAAGUCAGUGAUGCUGCCCCAACUCCCUAUUUCUUCAGCUUGAGGAAGCUGCGGCAGCCUGAAUCGCCUUCUGCCUAUUGUUGGCCUAUCCGACCUGCUACUAGGUUCAUGUUUGAUAGGUGAACCUUCUGAUUCCCCCUUCCUGUUCUUCCCUUGUUGUUAUCCAAUUGCUCUUGCUAAUUUAAUGAUUCAAUCAAAUUUCACUGCAAAGCAUACUGUACCAGGCGUUUCUUCUUUCUAAUACAGUGUGAGUUCGCAUCAAGUUGUGAAAUCCAAAUCCAUACAUGUACAAUUCUUGUUGUUCUAAUUACACAAGUAUUUUCUCAUAUUAUAUUUUUUUCAUUAACUAAUGUUCAUACAGAACACCAUCUCAGUAACCUGAUAUAGUAGUUAGUUUUGACAUUUGACGCAACAACUUUGACAUUGAUAAUUUGCUGAUGUUUUUAAUAGGACAUUAAACUUUUCUAGCAUUUCAUUAUGAGUUGCAGGCUCUGAAAACAGAAGUAUCUGCUCCCUAAAUUAUUCUAUGUGUGGUUUCUGAAUCAUACAUGCCGACAUGCUUUGGCAAUCAUUAUUCAACGGAAUUCCUUUUCAGUGAAAUCAGAAUCACGUAAUGCCUACGAUUUAAUCUGGUCAUCUAGACAACUAAACGGGUUAAUGUUAUGCUUAGUAUCUUUGGGCAUAUGUUCUGCGGGGAAGCAAGUGUUUUCUGCUUGUUUACAUUUACAGUUGUGUAGACUGAAGACUAGAUUUUCUCAGACUUGUAAGCCAACUAUGUGAGAUUAAUGACAAAUCUAAGUGUAUGGUUUGGCCAUGAUUCCAUUAGAGUAGACUGCUGAGGUUGGUGGUUGAUGCAGAUGUUGAUCUGAUCAUUAUGCAUGUGACACAUUGACAUGGUUUUAAUUUCUUGAAGUAUGCAAGUUCCAAGUAAGAUUUCUUGAUGCAUGCUCCAAAUAUUAAUGAUGUUUGCAUCAAAAACUACCAUAUGGACAUGUGCAACCAUAGGUAUGAUUAACUUAGAGAGGAAUUGCAUCAGUUUAAGUUUUGAACUGCAGGGGCAUGAGACUUCAGCAUGCUCUGUACAUUAGAAGGGAGUUGAGGGGCAGAACUGAAGGUAGGCCUGGCUGUAGUUAUCCACUGUGAAAGCAAGAUCAUGUUGUACAGGCAUGCAGCUCUAAAAAAUACAGUGGAUGCCUCCAUCUGAGUGCUCUAGCCCUCCUCUGCAAUUACGAGGUUGGGUGCGUACUCUGCAGAUGAUGAUGGUUCAGCAGAGGAGGCAGAGGCUUCAGAAUCAUGGGUGAACCAAGCAGUAGGAGGCCGCUGUGCAAUAAAAGGGCCCGUAUGAUGAACGCCAUUGGUACAGAAUCUCGAUCACAACGGACCCAUAUUGUCAGCGCACAUCAGAGCAGGCCUACUAAUACCGGAUGGAAUCAGUUUUAUUACUCCACAGACGUGGAUAAUCGGCCAUGACUAAAGAUGGGGUAACAAAUAUUAUGGAUAUAAGACGGCAGCAUAAACUUUGCAAUUUUGUGAUUUCUGAUUCGGUAGAUUUUUGCCAUGCGGAUGUCCAGUGAUUCUGGCUAUAUGCACUGGAGUUUAAUCCAUGCAUGUGAACACAUUAAGGUACGCAUCAAAGGCGCUCGCUCGCGCGUGCCACGUAGGAUCGAUCGUCGCGCAAGGGGCGUGCGCUCGCGAUGUCCAGGUCGGCAGGCGGCACUGCUGGACAGAGAAAAAAUUGUGCCUGGGCAAAUCCCAACUGAAGGCAGGUCGCAUUGGGUCCCACACGCACGUCUUCCUCUCCCCCGCACGCCUCCUCCUAUUCGUCCUCGCAAAACCUAGCGGCGGCGGGCGGCGGCGUCGGCUUGAUGCGGGAGAUGGCAGUUGCGGCGGCGCCCCAGCCGAUGCCGAGCACACGGGACAUCCGCCUGUCACUUCUUCGCAUUCUUCUCGUCCGCGGCUACACCGUGGGGAAGCAACGGCUGCGGCUUCAUAGGCAGCGGCGGCCGCGGUGUGGACAAUCAGCGGAAAGUAGGCAGGGAAGGUCUGAUUGUGGAGCCACGCCGGAUGAAGCAACAGCGGCACAUGAGCUUUCUGGCGCAGGUCAUCUUUCUCUCCUUUGUCCUCCCCCAUUCCCCUCCUUCUAGAUACUCGUUGCUUAAGAUGUACGAGUGGGUGGCCAGCUGCAAUGUCUAGAUGGAAGACCUCUGGUUCGGAUCAUUUUGGGUUCUUGAUUCCUUUUUCUCAAUGGUUAUAUGUAAUUAGUAGAACAUUACAAUUUUUUUUUACAACAUGUUUGCGGCUGAAUGCAUUGAGUUGCUGGAACUGUGGUAUUAGAUGACAACCAUUAUUCAGUGCACUCUUGAUUGUCUUACCAAUGGUCCAAAAGAAAUGCACAACCGGUGAAAUUGACCGUGGUUUUGAUUUACUUUUCUUACAAUAGAGUAAAUUUCAUUAUUUUCGAGUUUGGACAUACUUCUAUCGGUUUGUUUUCCUUUUAUAGAUGUAGUCAGACGCAACGACUACAUAUUGUUGUACGGGUGGAAUGUUUGUAUUUGACCUGAUUUGUUAACUUUUUACUCAAUUUUGCUUUCAGUUUCAAUAAGUUUCAGAAGUCAGUUGUCUGAAUUUUAUGACUGCGAUCUGUUCGGACAGUUUCUUAAAUUCUGAACCUUGUGCUCCUGCCUUUGAAGAUUAUGACUCUGCGAUGUGUAUGUCUUGAUUUAAUUCUGUUGAUAUGCUAUACUAUGCUUAGUUUUCUGCAGAAUUCAUUUGAUGAGAUGAUUCCCUGUCAACUGAGGUUGGUAAAUGUACAGACUAGUGCGGGCAUUGCACAGAUGGGAUGUUCUGUAUUUUCGGUUUCUCUGCAAGGAAUUUCUAUAGCUUGAUAUUUUGUUGACAUCUGUCUAUUAUAUUUUGCUGGUCUUAUCCGAACGGAUUAAUGAUUUUGCCAUGUGGGAGCUCAUGCUUACGGAAAGUGCCCAACUUUAAUUUCUCUGUACACACUUCUGCAGAGAAUUAAAAUCGUUUAUUUCUAGUAGUGCGUGCUUCCUUACAACAACUACUGGAUAUGUAUUACAAAAAUAACUUGCUUGAAUUGAUUUAUUAUUGAAAACAAAACAGGACUAUCUGGGCUAGCUGCUUAUUUCUUUUACUUUUCUUUACUUAUUGCAUGUUUGGUGCUUGGAUGCAGAUAGCAAUAGUAGAUUUGUUUACAUAUUAACGAUAAGUUAUUGUGUAUAUUUUUCUUUACGCGUGCCUACCAAGCAGGUUGACUCCACUCUUGAAAAUUGUUUUUGAAUUAUUAUGUAGAGAAGUCGAUGAUCAGGAGUGACUUUGAUUUCAUUCUCUCUUUUAGUCAACUGAGUGAUGUCUCAGUGAGUGGGUGGAGGUGUUGCAAAGUGCCACUUGAUCUUCCCACUUCUAGGCAGGUGUCUGUCCCACAUCUAUGUUGGUGAGGACGACACAAUCACACCGUGUAGGCAAGGAGGCGAUAGCUUAGGAGGCAGGUGAGAGGAAGCAGAAGGUCCUCCUUCAAUGGCGGCACCACGACCUUCCGGAUCAUGCUCAUCAUCAGGCUACGGCCCGGUCGGCCGGAGCAGGCGGAGAGGAGCCCCACCUGCCACUCCCCUCUGCUACCCUGGGGAUGUCUUGUCGUGUUCUCUGACAGGAGAAGGCGAGCUACAACCACACCAGGCGGCCACUAAGAAAGAUGGCUCGUCCCGGUCGCCGAUGCCCACUGACACUUCCGUCGGUGAGAUCCCUCUUCCCAUCUCUCAUUCUCUCUAUUUCUUCCUCCCGGAACCACCCAUGUUCUCCUGCUCUACAGGCGUCUGCAUCACAGGAACUCUGUAGUGCUAGGCUGUUGUUCGAGGUUUUCGCUUCUGCUCUCAUUUUUGGGAGGUCAGUAGAAGAGUAACUUGUGACUGUGUACCUUACUAGGUUCUUUUCAUUGUCCUAAAAUAAUAUAAUAUUUCUGGGUCAGUAAUCAUAAUGGUGUAUCUUGUGACCCCUUCUAAUUACAUGUACAUAAUCAUUGCAGAUUAUGGAAUGGUAGGAUACUCUUAAGCUUCUGAUUGCAGUCCAUAUGUUUGAAUUUUUUAUCCUCACAUAAUCACUCAGUUAUUGAAUUCGACUAUUAUUAGAAGCAUAGCAAAUGCUCAUUCUAUUACUGAAUUUUGCUAGCUCAUGGAUGAAUUUUAUUUUGUUUUGAUGUUUUAAAUAGGGCAGCACUUCAUUGUGCUGUUAAGUGAUCAAACAUUCAAACUAACAAUUAUUUUAAGCUAUGUAAUAGCGACAGCUUAGGACUUUUUACUUCUCAGAGUUCUUUAGGCAAGCCAUGAUUAUCAAUUCCGAAGUAGGUCAGGCCUCUUUGGCUGAUAAGGUUCUGUUUUCUGCAAUAACCUGUUUGGAUAUAACAUCUCCUAAAUGGGUUUCAUGUAAAUGUACAACCUGAAACAAGCAUGUGUGUUCCUGUGAUGUUAAUGGCAUUCUCGUUUGCUUAUUAUACUCUUCAACAUAUGCAUGGUUAAUACCUGCCUCCCCAUCCCAGUCCAUUAUGCGAUUUUUAUUUGUUCUGUUUCCUCCGGGAAUGAACUGAUUCCAGUGAAAUAUUUGCAAGAAUCCUGUUCUAAACUUGAAUAGUAAUGUCUGGGAUUUCGGCUUGGUGGUGAGGUGCUUGAGGUCGUGUCUCCGCGUCAGGACCCUCUUCUUGAGCAUGCCAGUACUUCGUGGUGGCGAGGUCUGUCUCCAAGAGAUUUCACAUAUCCUGCUUGACCGGACAGCGGUGGUUGUGAAGUCUGUCGAGCAGAUGACCAUGGUGGGGAGGCGGGUGUUGAGCUGCUGAUGGAGGCACUACCCAACCCCUAUGCUUUAUGCAUGUUUCUUUGUGAAAAUCGUGAUUGCUGGUGAUGUUCAAGUCGAAUGACAUCUUGAUUAGGUAGAUUGCUUUACUUUUGAACCGCCUGAACUAUCUGUAAUGGAUCAUCUAGAUAUCAUCAUGAUUAAUAUCCUUUCUUCCACUGUCA
Aegilops tauschii subsp. strangulata is the source of this 6159-nucleotide non-coding RNA. Lineage: Eukaryota; Viridiplantae; Streptophyta; Magnoliopsida; Poales; Poaceae. The record is from RefSeq and is a predicted model, not a curated record.